This 465-nucleotide ribosomal RNA is filed under the name Vreelandella stevensii. Its description in RNAcentral is "partial 16S ribosomal RNA". It matches the Rfam family "Bacterial small subunit ribosomal RNA", at positions 338 to 795 of the family's 1533-position model. The record is from RNAcentral. Lineage: Bacteria; Pseudomonadati; Pseudomonadota; Gammaproteobacteria; Oceanospirillales; Halomonadaceae.
CCUACGGGAGGCAGCAGUGGGGAAUAUUGGACAAUGGGCGAAAGCCUGAUCCAGCCAUGCCGCGUGUGUGAAGAAGGCCUUCGGGUUGUAAAGCACUUUCAGUGGGGAAGAAAGCCUUGGGGCUAAUACCCUCGAGGAAGGACAUCACCCACAGAAGAAGCACCGGCUAACUCCGUGCCAGCAGCCGCGGUAAUACGGAGGGUGCGAGCGUUAAUCGGAAUUACUGGGCGUAAAGCGCGCGUAGGCGGUCUGAUAAGCCGGUUGUGAAAGCCCCGGGCUCAACCUGGGAACGGCAUCUGGAACUGUCAGGCUAGAGUGCAGGAGAGGAAGGUAGAAUUCCCGGUGUAGCGGUGAAAUGCGUAGAGAUCGGGAGGAAUACCAGUGGCGAAGGCGGCCUUCUGGACUGACACUGACGCUGAGGUGCGAAAGCGUGGGUAGCAAACAGGAUUAGAUACCCUUGUAGUC